Molecule: ribosomal RNA, 292 nt
Filed under: uncultured bacterium
Lineage: Bacteria
Description: partial 16S ribosomal RNA
Rfam family: Bacterial small subunit ribosomal RNA
Source: RNAcentral
GUGUCAGCAGCCGCGGUAAGACAGAGGGUGCAAACGUUGCUCGGAAUCACUGGGCGUAAAGGGCGUGUAGGCGGACUUGUAAGUCGGGCGUGAAAUCCCUGGGCUCAACCCAGGAACUGCGCUCGAAACUGCGAGUCUUGAGUACCGGAGAGGAAGGUGGAAUUCCUGGUGUAGAGGUGAAAUUCGUAGAUAUCAGGAGGAACACCAGUGGCGAAGGCGGCCUUCUGGACGGUAACUGACGCUGAGACGCGAAAGCGUGGGGAGCAAACAGGAUUAGAAACCCCCGUAGUCC